This is a long non-coding RNA of Chinchilla lanigera (long-tailed chinchilla), 720 nucleotides long. RefSeq lists it as uncharacterized. NCBI's taxonomy places the organism in Eukaryota, Metazoa, Chordata, Mammalia, Rodentia, Chinchillidae. The transcript has 12 exons. The record is from RefSeq and is a predicted model, not a curated record.
CCCGUGGGCCUCUGCGCGGCGCUAUUUAGGGGGUCUAACGGAGCGCGUGCGGUCUCUUUUGUCCAAAGCUGGUGACGAAUGUCGGGGCCGGCGCGUCGGAACCGGACUGCGGCGGCGGCGCGGUACGGCCCCGCGCAGAGGAGCGCCCCUCCUGGACGAUGGACACGGCCCGCCCCUCGGACGGGGAGCGGAGCGCCGCUCCAGCGUCUCAUAACCAGUCCUGAGGAAUGCAGUUACUGCCCAGGAUGAGUACAGGUUGUCCUGAUAACUUUUUGCCGUCUAAAGAUGCCAGCUGGUCUCAGGACUCUCAACUCCUGGAAAGAGUUGAAAGUGGAGCAGCUUAUUUCUGUAUGACUGAAAACACUGCAUUAAGGCACUAUUCCCAGCAAGCUACUUGGUUCCAAGAUCCAACAUCUUAUUGGAGGCCAGAAAGAUUUCAGGGUCUCCCUAUGCCAUUCAUGCUGAUCUUGAACUCAUGACAACCCUCCUGCUUCAGCCUCCUGAAUGAGGUUACAGGCAUGUGUCAGCUGCAUCCAGCUGCAAAAAUCAUGUUUCUUCUCAGUCCAAGACAGGUCCCAGGAAAGGACACAGUAUAUACAAGUGGCGUCUGCUAUCUGGGAGAAUUAAUAAGAAGAGACAUUACACUUCACCCUUGCUGUUGAAUGAACUUGGUGUAGGUGUGGAGUCAUGCCCAUCUCAGUAAUAAAGCUGUUUUCUCAA